UCCGCUUUACAGCGGCAGUCUCGCUAGAGUCCUCGGCAUUACCCGUUAGCAACUAGCGACAGGGGUUGCGCUCGUUAAUGGACUUAACCAAACACUUCGCAGCACGAGCUGACGACAGCCAUGCAGCACCUAGUUUCGUGUUCCGAAGAACUGAUUCGUCUCUGAAUCAUUCACUAACUUUCAAGCCCGGGUAAGGUUCCUCGCGUAUCAUCGAAUUAAACCACAUGCUCCUCCGCUUGUGCGGGCCCCCGUCAAUUCUUUUGAGUUUCACCCUUGCGGGCGUACUCCCCAGGUGGAAUACUUAACGCUUUCGCUUAGACGCUGACCGUAUAUCGCCAACAUCGAGUAUUCAUCGUUUAGGGCGUGGACUAC
Molecule: unclassified non-coding RNA, 372 nt
Filed under: uncultured Sphingobacteriaceae bacterium
Lineage: Bacteria; Pseudomonadati; Bacteroidota; Sphingobacteriia; Sphingobacteriales; Sphingobacteriaceae
Description: contains 16S-23S intergenic spacer region
Source: RNAcentral